GAGGCAGGGUUGCCUGAGGAGAACCGACAGUGAGAAGACACACGGAUGGUCACCCACAGCCAGGCCAGCGGGGGCCAGGCCGAGCGGGGUUCCACCUCAGCCUGUGAAUGGAGCUCCUUGGGGCUCAGGAUGAGCCACCUCUGAGCACUGUGCAGCCACCAGCAUGGCCUCACCUGAGUCUGAGGAGUUUGCAGUCACCUGUGGGGCCAGGAGGAGGCCACUGGGCUCCUUGGCAAGUUAUAAACCUUCCCAGCACCCCGCCUGGCCAGGCUUUUCUGUCGGCUGCCCCGGAGUUUCCAAACAGAUGGCAGGUGUCGGGGGUGUUUCGAGAAGCACCUGGUCAAGUCCAAAAAGGAAACUUUAGUUCCUUCACACCUUCUGGUCCGGGGCCACCUCAGCGUGUGCACACGAUGGUCAGCAGGGGCUGACCAGGGACUCAGUCUCAGACAGUUUUAAACACAUUCAAGAUGUCCCCUCGGACCUGAGCUGAGCCUGGGGUGCCUCAGCGCCUGGGCCCCAGCAGGGCUUUCUCAGGCCUCCAGGUCCAACUGGCGCAGGCGAGGCCUGGACUCCUCCGUGUGCUGCCCUUGGCCUUCCAGGACCCCGGCUGGGCCUCGACCUCCCUGCUCCAAGCUAUGGCAGCAACCCCGGAGGCCAUUCUCCUCCUGGCCGACUCCUGUGAGUCCACCGUGGGGCAGUGGCUCUCUGGCAAAUCUCCCUGCCCGGUUCCUGCCUUCCGAUCUCCUCCCAGAGCCUGUGGGCUCCGGGCUGGCUCAGCAUUUCUUGUUUCCAGAACAUCCGCUGACUUGGUGAGUGAAGGAAUGCUGCUUCUCCCCAAGGUGAAAGGGUCCCCCGCAUUUGCUUUCUAGAAUCAUCUUUCUCAUUAUAGCCUCUGCUCCUGCCUUCCACCAAAAUGUCACGGAGUUCCCAUUUCCUGAGGCGAACGGGGAGGAGAGAGGAAAGAAAACUUAUCUGGUGUUUGUUCUGCAUGACUAACACCGAGCUAAACUUUAUCAGGCCAAGCUUAUCACAAUGAGAAGAUCUGGCUGGAAUGCUGUUUUUCUCUUCCCGCCCUUUCCCUUCUCUUCUCCCCAUCCUCUGAAGGCUCCUCCCCAGACCAGGGGAUCGGAACCUCUGGGGGAUGGGACCAGGCCUGAGUUCUUUUCGUUUUUUUAAAAAGGUGUCUCAGGUGCUUCUAAUGGGCAGCCAGGGCUGAGAACCACUGCUUCAGGGUAAUUGUUGUCAUUAGGACUAGAAAUCCCAGAGGCUAUAGACGGGGAAGGGGAACAGCAGUAGCUACAGUGCUAUCGCUGGGACGCGGUGUGCCUCUUUCCUUUGCCCUGUUGUUCUUCACGUUGGCUCCUAUUUCAAGCCCCAAACUCAGAGUCACAAGAUGGCUGCAGCAGCUCCAGGCUUCACAUCCCCUCAGCUUCAAGUCCUCUGGAAAGAAUGUCCAGCCCAUGACCUGCUGCCUCUCAUUGGUCCUUGAGCUCUCUAUCUCUGGAGAAAAGCAACCAGAGCUUGAGGAGAGCCCUGCCUCCUGCCUCAGGGCAGGCUGUUGGCCCAAGGGGGGUUGUGCCAGCCCCACCUGGCAUCCUGGCCACUGCCCUCAGGUAUCAUGAACUUGGCAGGGAACAAGGGUUCUUCCGCUGAAGCUGUGACCAGAUCAACUAGACAGCCACUUGGCAGCACCAUAUGGAUGUGCAUGGUGGUGUGUAUGCUUUAGUCCCUGCCUGGGAGGUCAGAAACUGGCGUGGCAAACCCAACUAGCAUUCCAAGAAAGAACAAUUGUGUUCAUGGUAGCUCAAGGAUGGAGGCUGGAGUGAUCCAGGGAGAAUUUCUGGAGAAGCUAGGAAGAUCAUUUAGGUCCUGGAAGGGAACAGACGGGGCACCAAGUGGGUUCCUGAGGAGAGAGAGCUCAGGGAAGUUUCACAAAGGGGACGGUGGGGAUGGAAGAAAUCCCCCUGGGUUGGGGUGCUCACCACCCUGGCUGGAAGGGGCAGGGCCAGGGAGUGUGUCAGAGCCUGGAGCUGGAGCAGAGGACCUGGUCUAGAGCUGUUGGCCAGGGUCCGAGGAGCAGGCCCUGCUAAUCCGUAGCUGAGGACUCAAUUCUGCACCUCCACCCCAACCUCAUGCUGGGCCCUUCCGUCGGAUGAACCCAAGCGGAAGCUGAGAUGCAGGGCAGGGCGGGGAGGCCGAGGAAGACAUCUAACCAGCAGGGGUUCCGUGGAUCCUAGCCUGCAUUUCAUCUCAGCAAUGUCUGGUGCAAAGCACAGCAGCCUCUUUUCACGAUCAUACUGCUCCUGUUUAAUCAGAAAAUGUGCCCGGCCCGGAACUCGGUGUGUGGCUUUAUUUCCAGCUGGAUGCCUCCCUUUCUCUAAGUGUUAGCAUCUGAACAGCCCCGCAUUUGGAGUAAGUGCUCCUUCUGCUCCUUUCCUU
This 2439-nucleotide long non-coding RNA is filed under the name Equus asinus (donkey). RNAcentral's name for it is "lncRNA (ENSEASG00005038350.1)". The record is from RNAcentral. Lineage: Eukaryota; Metazoa; Chordata; Mammalia; Perissodactyla; Equidae.